This 278-nucleotide ribosomal RNA is filed under the name uncultured bacterium. RNAcentral describes it as "partial 16S ribosomal RNA". It matches the Rfam family "Bacterial small subunit ribosomal RNA", at positions 506 to 784 of the family's 1533-position model. The record is from RNAcentral.
UGCCAGCCGCCGCGGUAAUACGGAGGGUGCAAACGUUGUUCGGAAUCACUGGGCAUAAAGAGCACGUAGGCGGCUAAGUCAGUCUGGUGUGAAAUCCCCCGGCUCAACCGGGGAACUGCAUCGGAUACUGCUUGGCUUGAGGACGGUUGGGGCGAGUGGAACUCCUGGUGGAGCGGUGAAAUGCGUAGAUAUCAGGAGGAACACCAGUGGCGAAAGCGACUCACUGGCCGUCUCUGACGCUGAGGUGCGAAAGCUAGGGUAGCGAACAGGAUUAGAUA